UGCGUAGGCGGAAAAUUAAGUCAGUGAUGAAAUCCUGCAGCUCAACUGUAGAACUGUCAUUGAUACUGAUUUUCUUGAAUUUAGUUGAGGUAGGCGGAAUGUGUAGUGUAGCGGUGAAAUGCUUAGAUAUUACACAGAACACCGAUCGCGAAGGCAGCUUACUAAACUAUGAUUGACGCUGAGGCACGAAAGCGUGGGGAGCGAACAGGAUUAGAUACCCUGGUAGUCC
This 229-nucleotide ribosomal RNA is filed under the name uncultured bacterium. RNAcentral describes it as "partial 16S ribosomal RNA". It matches the Rfam family "Bacterial small subunit ribosomal RNA", at positions 568 to 796 of the family's 1533-position model. The record is from RNAcentral.